GAGCGAAUGGAUUAAGAGCUUGCUCUUAUGAAGUUAGCGGCGGACGGGUGAGUAACACGUGGGUAACCUGCCCAUAAGACUGGGAUAACUCCGGGAAACCGGGGCUAAUACCGGAUAACAUUUUGAACCGCAUGGUUCGAAAUUGAAAGGCGGCUUCGGCUGUCACUUAUGGAUGGACCCGCGUCGCAUUAGCUAGUUGGUGAGGUAACGGCUCACCAAGGCAACGAUGCGUAGCCGACCUGAGAGGGUGAUCGGCCACACUGGGACUGAGACACGGCCCAGACUCCUACGGGAGGCAGCAGUAGGGAAUCUUCCGCAAUGGACGAAAGUCUGACGGAGCAACGCCGCGUGAGUGAUGAAGGCUUUCGGGUCGUAAAACUCUGUUGUUAGGGAAGAACAAGUGCUAGUUGAAUAAGCUGGCACCUUGACGGUACCUAACCAGAAAGCCACGGCUAACUACGUGCCAGCAGCCGCGGUAAUACGUAGGUGGCAAGCGUUAUCCGGAAUUAUUGGGCGUAAAGCGCGCGCAGGUGGUUUCUUAAGUCUGAUGUGAAAGCCCACGGCUCAACCGUGGAGGGUCAUUGGAAACUGGGAGACUUGAGUGCAGAAGAGGAAAGUGGAAUUCCAUGUGUAGCGGUGAAAUGCGUAGAGAUAUGGAGGAACACCAGUGGCGAAGGCGACUUUCUGGUCUGUAACUGACACUGAGGCGCGAAAGCGUGGGGAGCAAACAGGAUUAGAUACCCUGGUAGUCCACGCCGUAAACGAUGAGUGCUAAGUGUUAGAGGGUUUCCGCCCUUUAGUGCUGAAGUUAACGCAUUAAGCACUCCGCCUGGGGAGUACGGCCGCAAGGCUGAAACUCAUAGGAAUUGACGGGGGCCCGCACAANCGGUGGAGCAUGUGGGUUUAUUUCUAAGCAACGCGAAGAAACUUUACCAGGUCUUGACAUCCUCUGAAAACCCUAGAGAUAGGGCUUCUCCUUCUGGAGCAGAGUGACAAGUGCUGCAUGGUUGUCCUCCGCUCGAGUCUUGAGAUGUUGGGUUAAGUCCCGGGAGCAAGAGCAACCCUUGAUCUUAGUUGCCAUCAUUAAGUUGGGCACUCUAAGGUGACUGCCGGUGACAAACCGGAGGAAGGUGGGGAUGACGUCAAAUCAUCAUGCCCCUUAUGACCUGGGCUACACACGUGCUACAAUGGACGGUACAAAGAGCUGCAAGACCGCGAGGUGGAGCUAAUCUCAUAAAACCGUUCUCAGUUCGGAUUGUAGGCUGCAACUCGCCUACAUGAAGCUGGAAUCGCUAGUAAUCGCGGAUCAGCAUGCCGCGUGAAUACUCCCCGGCC
RNAcentral lists this ribosomal RNA (1335 nucleotides) under Bacillus sp. (in: firmicutes). Its description in RNAcentral is "bacterial SSU rRNA". It matches the Rfam family "Bacterial small subunit ribosomal RNA", at positions 64 to 1380 of the family's 1533-position model. The record is from RNAcentral. Lineage: Bacteria; Bacillati; Bacillota; Bacilli; Caryophanales; Bacillaceae.